AUACCCCAGGUCAGGGG
RNAcentral lists this ribosomal RNA (17 nucleotides) under Carex johnstonii. Its description in RNAcentral is "partial 26S ribosomal RNA". Lineage: Eukaryota; Viridiplantae; Streptophyta; Magnoliopsida; Poales; Cyperaceae. The record is from RNAcentral.